GAGAUAUGAUGAAUAUAUUAUUUGGUCCGUGUUUCUGAACUAACCCUGACUGAUACCCUUUCCAAACCUCUGAUCUC
Salvia miltiorrhiza (redroot sage) is the source of this 77-nucleotide small nucleolar RNA. RefSeq annotates it as small nucleolar RNA SNORD18. NCBI's taxonomy places the organism in Eukaryota, Viridiplantae, Streptophyta, Magnoliopsida, Lamiales, Lamiaceae. The record is from RefSeq and is a predicted model, not a curated record. The transcript has a single exon.